AGAGUUUGAUCCUGGCUCAGAUUGAACGCUGGCGGCAGGCCUAACACAUGCAAGUCGAGCGGUAGCACAGGGAGCUUGCUCCUGGGUGACGAGCGGCGGACGGGUGAGUAAUGUCUGGGAAACUGCCUGAUGGAGGGGGAUAACUACUGGAAACGGUAGCUAAUACCGCAUAACGUCGCAAGACCAAAGAGGGGGACCUUCGGGCCUCUUGCCAUCAGAUGUGCCCAGAUGGGAUUAGCUAGUAGGUGAGGUAAUGGCUCACCUAGGCGACGAUCCCUAGCUGGUCUGAGAGGAUGACCAGCCACACUGGAACUGAGACACGGUCCAGACUCCUACGGGGAGGCAGCAGGUGGGGGAAUAUUGCACAAUGGGGCGCAAGCCUGAUGCAGCCAUGCCGCGGUGUAUGAAAGAAAGGGCCUUCCGGGUUGGAAAAGUAACUUUUCAGCCGAAGGAGGGAAAGGCAUUUAAAGGGUAAAUAACCUUUGGGUGAUUGGACGUUUACUUCCGCAAAAAAAGCACCCGGCUUAACUUCCGGUGGCCAGCCAGCCCGGCGGGAAAUACGGGGGGGGUGGCAAAGCGUUUUAUCGGGAAAUUUACUUGGGCGUAAAAGCCGCGACGCCCAGGCCGGUUUUGUCACAGUCCGGAUGGUGGAAUAAUUCCCCGGGACUCCACACCUUGGGGGAGACUGCGAUUUCUCGAACGGAGCAUAGCUUAUAGAUCUCUGUUAGCGCGGGGGGGUAGAAAAUCUCACGCUGGUGACGCAGGUGAAACUGCGGUAGAGAAUCCUGGGAGUGAAUAACCGUGUUGCCGAAGAGCGGGCCCCCUCGGGACAAAAGACUGGACGCCUCCAGGUGACGAAACGCCGUGGGGAGCAAACACGAUUUAGAUAUCCCUGGGUAGUCCACGACUGCUAAACGAAUGGUCGGACUGAGGAGGUUGUGUCCCCUUGAGCGCAGUGGCUUCUCGGGAGCUUAACGCAGUUAAAGUCGACCCGCUUGGAGAGUACGGCCCGCAGGUUAAAAUCUCAAAUGAAUGACGGGGGCCCCCGCCACAAGGCGGUGGGAGCAUGUUGGUUUAAUUUGGAUGCAACCGCGAAGAACCUUUACCUUACUCUUGACAUCCCAAGAGAACCUUUCCGAGAGGUGGGAUGGGUCCCUUCGGGAAUUCUGAGGACCAGGUGCCUGCAUGGCUGUCGUCAGCUUCGUGCUGUGAAAAUGUUGGGUUAAGUCCCGCAACGAGCCGCAACCCUUUAUCCUUUGUUGCCAGCGAGUAAUGUCGGGAACUCAAAGGAGACUGCCAGUGACAAACUGGAGGAAGGUGGGGAUGACGUCAAGUCAUCAUGGCCCUUACGAGUAGGGCUACACACGUGCUACAAUGGCAUAUACAAAGAGAAGCGACCUCGCGAGAGCAAGCGGACCACACAAAGUAUGUCGUAGUCCGGAUCGGAGUCUGCAACUCGACUCCGUGAAGUCGGAAUCGCUAGUAAUCGUAGAUCAGAAUGCUACGGUGAAUACGUUCCCGGGCCUUGUACACACCGCCCGUCACACCAUGGGAGUGGGUUGCAAAAGAAGUAGGUAGCUUAACCUUCGGGAGGGCGCUUACCACUUUGUGAUUCAUGACUGGGGUGAAGUCGUAACAAGGUAACC
This 1646-nucleotide ribosomal RNA is filed under the name uncultured bacterium. RNAcentral describes it as "16S ribosomal RNA". It matches the Rfam family "Bacterial small subunit ribosomal RNA". The record is from RNAcentral.